RNAcentral lists this ribosomal RNA (461 nucleotides) under uncultured Gemmata sp. RNAcentral's name for it is "bacterial SSU rRNA". It matches the Rfam family "Bacterial small subunit ribosomal RNA", at positions 8 to 507 of the family's 1533-position model. Lineage: Bacteria; Pseudomonadati; Planctomycetota; Planctomycetia; Gemmatales; Gemmataceae. The record is from RNAcentral.
AGAGUUUGAUCCUGGCUCAGAACGAACGUUGGCGGCCUGGAUUAGGUAUGCAAGUUGAGCGUACCCAGCAAUGGGGAGCAGCGUAAGGGGCAGUAAGGCAUAGGUACCUACCCGCAGCUCGGGCAUAGCCUGUAGAGAUACAGGGUAAUUCCCGAUGACGUCGAAAGACCAAAGCUCCGGCGGCCGCGGAGGGGCCUAUGUGAUAUUAGCUAGUUGGUAGGGUAACGGCCUACCAAGGCGAAGAUGUCUAGCGGGUGUGAGAGCACGACCCGCGCCACUGGCACUGAGACACUGGCCAGACACCUACGGGUGGCUGCAGUCGAGGAUCUUCGGCAAUGGGCGCAAGCCUGACCGAGCGAGGCCGCGUGGGCGAUGAAGGCCUUCGGGUUGUAAAGCCCUGUCGAGAGGGAGAAAAGCGAAAGCUUGAUCUAUCUCUGGAGGAAGCACGGGCUAAGUUCGUG